GCCAGGUGUGGUGGUGCAUGCCUGUAAUCCCAGCUACUCGAGAGGCUGAGGCAGGGGAUUGUAAAUUUGAGUCCAGCCUGGAUAAUUUUGCAAGACCCAGUCUCAA
Molecule: small RNA, 106 nt
Filed under: Marmota monax (woodchuck)
Lineage: Eukaryota; Metazoa; Chordata; Mammalia; Rodentia; Sciuridae
Source: RNAcentral